CCCUUAGAUGUUCUGGGCUGCACGCGCGCUACACUGAUGCGCUCAACGAGUUUUAACCUUGCCUGGAAAGGUUGGGUAAUCUUUUUAAAACGCAUCGUGAUGGGGAUAGAUUAUUGCAAUUAUUAAUCUUCAACGAGGAAUUCCUAGUAAGCGCGAGUCAUCAGCUCGUGCUGAUUACGUCCCUGCCCUUUGUACACACCGCCCGUCGCUCCUACCGAUUGAGUGCUCAGGUGAAUAAUUCGGACUGCAGCAAUGUUUGGAUCCCGAACGUUGCAGCGGAAAGUUUAGUGAACCUUAUCACUUAGAGGAAGGAGAANUCGUANCA
Molecule: ribosomal RNA, 325 nt
Filed under: uncultured eukaryote
Lineage: Eukaryota
Description: partial 18S ribosomal RNA
Rfam family: Eukaryotic small subunit ribosomal RNA
Source: RNAcentral